UACGGGGGGAGCAAGCGUUGUUCGGAUUUACUGGGCGUAAAGGGCGCGUAGGCGGUCAGCACAAGUCAGUUGUGAAAUCUCCGGGCUUAACCCGGAAAGGUCAACUGAUACUGUGCGACUAGAGUGCGGAAGGGGCAACUGGAAUUCUCGGUGUAGCGGUGAAAUGCGUAGAUAUCGAGAGGAACACCUGCGGCGAAGGCGGGUUGCUGGGCCGACACUGACGCUGAUGCGCGAAGGCGUGGGGAGCGAACGGG
Molecule: ribosomal RNA, 254 nt
Filed under: uncultured bacterium
Lineage: Bacteria
Description: partial 16S ribosomal RNA
Rfam family: Bacterial small subunit ribosomal RNA
Source: RNAcentral